UACAGAGGUGGCAAGCGUUGUUCGGAUUUACUGGGCUUAAAGGGUGCGUAGGUGGUUCGGUGUGUCGGAUGUGAAAUCCCACUGCUUAACGGUGGAACUGCAUUCGAAACUGCCGAACUUGAGUGCAGGAGGGGAGAGCGGAAUUCUUGGUGUAGCGGUGAAAUGCGUUGAUAUCAAGAAGAACACCGGUGGCGAAGGCGGCUCUCUGGAAUGUAACUGACACUGAGGCACGAAAGCUAGGGGAG
This 245-nucleotide ribosomal RNA is filed under the name uncultured bacterium. Its description in RNAcentral is "partial 16S ribosomal RNA". It matches the Rfam family "Bacterial small subunit ribosomal RNA", at positions 524 to 768 of the family's 1533-position model. The record is from RNAcentral.